This 648-nucleotide unclassified non-coding RNA is filed under the name uncultured Prochlorococcus sp. RNAcentral's name for it is "partial 16S-23S ribosomal RNA intergenic spacer; may also contain 16S ribosomal RNA and 23S ribosomal RNA". The stretch from base 1 to 93 matches the Rfam family "Bacterial small subunit ribosomal RNA", at positions 1441 to 1533 of the family's 1533-position model. The record is from RNAcentral. Lineage: Bacteria; Bacillati; Cyanobacteriota; Cyanophyceae; Synechococcales; Prochlorococcaceae.
UUGUGGAGGAGGACGCCGAAGGUGGGGCUAAUGACUGGGGUGAAGUCGUAACAAGGUAGCCGUACCGGAAGGUGCGGCUGGAUCACCUCCUAACAGGGAGACAACAAAAUGUUUAAUAUUAUUAUUUUGUCACCUUAGGUCGAUCGGUAUCUCACGUUCUUAAUUCAUUAAGAAUUUCAUUUCCUAAGUUUUUCUAGGUCACACCCAUUAUUUUUCCUGGGCCAUUAGCUCAGGUGGCUAGAGCGCACCCCUGAUAAGGGUGAGGUCCCUGGUUCAAGUCCAGGAUGGCCCAUAUCUCUAUGUUGGGGGUAUAGCUCAGUUGGUAGAGCGCCUGCUUUGCGAGCAGGAUGUCAGCGGUUCGAGUCCGCUUACCUCCACUGAUUACCACCUCUUCCAUAAUCUGUAGAAAGGAAAUUUUUUGAGUUGUGAUCAAUUUCUUAACGAAUCUAGCUUCCUAAUGAAAGCAUUAAGAUGCUGGACUCAUUGAAUUAAUUUCAUUGUUUUCAGAGAACCUUGACAACUGCAUAGAUUAUUUUUUUAAAGACAAUAAGCAUCUUUAAUGAUGCAGAUUUAUUAUUUGUGCGAAUGCAUUAAUAACAAUUCUAUUAAGCUGAUGCUUCAAUUUUGAAGUUAUUGGUCAAGCUACAA